ACACGACUACAUUAGAUACCCCGGUAGUCCUAGCCGUAAACGAUACUCGCUAGGUGUCGGCCACGGUGCGACCGUUGUCGGUGCCGUAGGGAAGCCGUGAAGCGAGCCACCUGGGAAGUACGGCCGCAAGGCUGAAACUUAAAGGAAUUGGCGGGGGAGCACAACAACGGGUGGAGCUUGCGGUUUAAUUGGAUUCAACGCCGGAAAUCUUACCGGGACCGACAGCAACAUGGAGGCCAAGCUGAAGACUUUGCCGGAUUAGCUG
RNAcentral lists this ribosomal RNA (265 nucleotides) under uncultured archaeon. RNAcentral's name for it is "partial 16S ribosomal RNA". It matches the Rfam family "Archaeal small subunit ribosomal RNA", at positions 717 to 982 of the family's 1478-position model. The record is from RNAcentral.